Oncorhynchus tshawytscha (Chinook salmon) is the source of this 1235-nucleotide long non-coding RNA. NCBI's taxonomy places the organism in Eukaryota, Metazoa, Chordata, Actinopteri, Salmoniformes, Salmonidae. The record is from Ensembl.
GUUAAGUUGUUUAUUAAGACAUGAGUCCAGUAGAGUCCAGUAGUGUUAAGUUGUUUAUUAAGAUCCAGGGGUUUCAUAUCAACAUGUCAGAAAAUGAUCACUUGACCAAGAACAAGGGACAACUAUACAUAUGACAAACUGUAGGACAAUACAAUGGAACCUUUUGAGGGGAAAGAGGUAGGAGAGUGAGAGAGGGAGAGAGGAGGAGAGUGAGAGAGGGAGAGAGGAGUAGAGGGAGAGAGGAGGAGAGGAGGAGAGGGAGAAAGGAGGAGAGGAGGAGAGGUAGGAGAGUGAGAGAGGAGGAGAGGGAGAGAGGAGGAGAGGGAGAGAGGAAGGAGAGGAGAGAGAGAGGAGAGGAGGAGAGGGAGAGAGGGGGAGAGGUAGGAUAGUGAGAGAGGAGGAGAGGGAGAGAGGAGGAGAGGAGGAGAGUGAGAGAGGAGGAGAGGAGGAGAGGGAGAGAGGGGGAGAGGUAGGAUAGUGAGAGAGGAGGAGAGGGAGAGAGGAGGAGAGGAGGAGAGGGAGAGAGGAGGAGAGGAAGAGAGGGAGAGAGGAGGAGAGGAGGAGAGGAGGAGAGGAGGAGAGGAGGAGAGGUAGGAGAGUGAGAGAGGGGAGAGGGGAGAGAGGAGGAGAGGGAGAGAGGUAGGAGAGGGAAAGAAAACCCCGUCCUCCUCAGGCUCUCCCCCCAUCGCUCCUAGCUCGGAUGGGGAGCUGCCUGGGGGUGAGACGAUGUGUGAGGCGAGGAUCGGAAUGGGUAGAAGUUUGGGUCUCUCUUACUGGGGGGCUCUUCUCCAAGGGACAGGGGUCACCUGCACCUCCACUCUUUAUCUGUACCCCUCCCCCCUCUCUCACCCCCACAGCCCCCUCUGUACCCUUCUCCACGGCACUCUUCAUCUGUACCCCUACCGCACCCCCCACCUCAGGUUUGGGGGUCCCCUGCCCCCCCGAGGCCAUCGGGGCUACAGUCGGGGGGUUCCCCAGGUGGGCGUGGCCGGGGUCAGGGGUCAGAGGUAAGGGGUCAGGGGUUAAGACUGAAGGUUCAGGGUUAGGGUCCACACUCAGCCCCUGGCUCUGAUACGCUGGCACCACUGGAGGCAACAUCACCCUGGUGUAGACCACCUAGAACAAAUACAACAUGAGUCCCAGAGUACCAUGAUACAUAACCUACAUGGUAGAUGACCUACAUGGUAGAUGACCUACAUGGUAGAUUACCUACAUGGUAGAUGACCUACAUGGUA